Molecule: long non-coding RNA, 1393 nt
Organism: Ricinus communis (castor bean)
Lineage: Eukaryota; Viridiplantae; Streptophyta; Magnoliopsida; Malpighiales; Euphorbiaceae
Exons: 2
Source: RefSeq, a predicted model, not a curated record
UAUAUAAAAAAAAUCUAUUUCCUCAUUUUUCUUUCCUUUUUCCCCCUCUCCUUUUCCUUUUCCUUCCUUCCUCUUUCUCCCCGAUCCUAGCUCCCUCUCCCUCCCCGAUUUAUGAUUUCUCCGGCCACAAUGCAGCCAAUGCCGCCGCCCAGCUCUUCCUCCUUCCCCUCCUCGCCAUCGCGCCACCUUCAUCUUCCUCCCUCCCUCGCUGCCGACGUCCGCAUGGAGAAAGGGGUUGCCGUUGCUGUUUCAACCGCCUGUCGCCCUCCUUUUGGCCAUCCGACGCCACAUUCUUGCUCUCCACCACCGGAAACCUCUAGGCUGAGCUCCCCUGUCGUGAAAUCCUCGCCGGCAGCCUCGGUCAAGCUUUACCGGAGCAGCCCCUUUCUGGCCCCGAUCUGGUGUCUUCAGGCGAGUUUCCGGCCAAAACUAUUGUGUUUACGGACUCCCUGCAAGUCGAGCUUCACAUAGGCGCUUCCGGAUUUGAAUUCCGACACCGUUGGCAGGAUCGGCUUUCGGAUCCAAGUGUUUUCUAAACACGCGAAAUAUUAAAAUUUCAACUCGAUAAUCUGUACAUCCCGCCAGCUCCACCCGAGGCAUAAGAGCAGACUACGAAGCGUGACAAAACUGUGAGUUAAAGUUAUAUAAUCGAUGUACAUUGGUAUGUCUAGAUUUCAUGCAAUAUUUAAAUGAUUAAUUUUUAUGUAUGAUUAUCAUUAUUAUUAUUAUAAGUAAACUUUAUUUAAUUAAUAAUCAUCAUAAAUAAUAUUAAUAUUAUUAUUAGUUAAUUUAUCUCGUUAUUUACGAUAUUUUAAAUAAUGUUAUUUUAAUACUAUUAUUAUUAUCUCUACAGAUAUUUUACAUAUUUUCUUUAUCUGAUGUAAUCGAAUAAAUUAUGUUGGCUAUGAAUAGCCUAUUUAUGAUUUCUUUUUAUAUAUAUUAUGAUUGUGACUUUGGGAUAAGGUGACUGUAGAGCAUGCCACUUGAUAAGUUGCAUCAGGACCGCGGGCACACUGAUAAUAAUUAGAGAAAUGUAUCAAAGGUUAUUUUUAGAUUUUGUCCCGGUCGAGUAUAACUCUCUGGGCUGUGAAAGUUUGACUACCGGAGAAAGGUUCUUGGUCGAACAAUGUUCUCUGGCCGUUGGUUUAAUUAGGGAAUAAGGUCUAGGCUAGAUGUAAGGAAUCUGGUUGAGCUUCGCUUUUUGGGCGUCAGACAUAAUUGUAAUACGAGAGCUGAAAGGCUCAUAGCGUUUUGGAUUAGGGUUCUACUGAGUCACUCGUCCCAUAAGUCUUUAAGGUGAUUGUUAGAGUUCUCGCCGUGUGCAUUUUGACAACACAACUUCCUCCUUCAUCAGGCUUAUUAUAAAUAAUCUAUACUUUCAUAUUUUUAGUUA